CUGCUAAGUCGAAUACGACGUAUAGGGGGUGACACCUGCCCGGUGCCGGAAGGUUAAAGCGAGGGCUCAAUCCCGCAAGGGACGAAGGCCCGACCUGAAGCCCCGGUGAACGGCGGCCGUAACUAUAACGGUCCUAAGGUAGCGAAAUUCCUUGUCGGGUAAGUUCCGACCUGCACGAAUGGUGUAACGAUAGAGCGACUGUCUUGGCGAGUGACUCGGCGAAUUUGUGGUUCCGGUGAAGACGCCGGAUGCCCGCAUCUAGACGGAAAGACCCCGUGCACCUUUACUGCACUCUGGUCAUGAGUAACGGUAUGGUCUGCGUAGAAUAGGUGGGAGUCUUUGAUCCUCAGGUCUCGGCUUGAGGGGAGACAACAGUGAAA
RNAcentral lists this ribosomal RNA (380 nucleotides) under Pseudomonas aeruginosa. RNAcentral describes it as "bacterial LSU rRNA". It matches the Rfam family "Bacterial large subunit ribosomal RNA", at positions 1823 to 2197 of the family's 2925-position model. Lineage: Bacteria; Pseudomonadati; Pseudomonadota; Gammaproteobacteria; Pseudomonadales; Pseudomonadaceae. The record is from RNAcentral.